AUGUAGCCAAGUGGAUC
RNAcentral lists this transfer RNA (17 nucleotides) under Inga sapindoides. RNAcentral describes it as "partial tRNA-His". Lineage: Eukaryota; Viridiplantae; Streptophyta; Magnoliopsida; Fabales; Fabaceae. The record is from RNAcentral.